AAUUUCAAUUUCUUCUAAUAUAGAAAAUCAAUAGUAGUCAAAAGGCAUCACUGCCACUUCCCGCUCCCCUCCAGGAGCCUCUGUAGAUGUACUUGUGAAUGUAAGGGUACGGCUUGGAUAGGAACACAACUAGCACUUGACAGGACAUACCAGCUAGGUGAAAUAUUCUAUAAUGGUCAAGGCAACUGGUUAAACCUUGUAUAAUGCUCAAGAAAACC
Molecule: long non-coding RNA, 218 nt
Organism: Perognathus longimembris pacificus (Pacific pocket mouse)
Lineage: Eukaryota; Metazoa; Chordata; Mammalia; Rodentia; Heteromyidae
Exons: 3
Source: RefSeq, a predicted model, not a curated record